CCCAUUUUUAUAUACGUUUCUCCCGAUAUUAUUCUCUAAAUUGAAAGAAAACAACAGGCAUAUAUUUUCAUUAGCUUUGAACUGAAAACCUUUUAAGAUAAGCCGAAGUUGACUUUUUCGUUCAUCGCCUAUAAUCGUACAGCAAAGAAAAACAUAAACAUUUUCGGUUCUUUUUGUGCGCGAAUAAUCCACUAAUUUUUCCCGCAAGACGCACUUAGCACCAAAGACGGUCAUUGAUUGUAUUUAUAAUCCUAUUAAAUUAGUGGUUUAAGUUAGUGGAAGGCGCGGCUAAGAGGCAACGGUACAGCAACUGGAAUUUCCAAGCAACU
Long non-coding RNA from Drosophila miranda, 329 nucleotides. RefSeq lists it as uncharacterized. The record is from RefSeq and is a predicted model, not a curated record. Lineage: Eukaryota; Metazoa; Arthropoda; Insecta; Diptera; Drosophilidae. The transcript has 2 exons.